Molecule: ribosomal RNA, 465 nt
Filed under: Vreelandella stevensii
Lineage: Bacteria; Pseudomonadati; Pseudomonadota; Gammaproteobacteria; Oceanospirillales; Halomonadaceae
Description: partial 16S ribosomal RNA
Rfam family: Bacterial small subunit ribosomal RNA
Source: RNAcentral
CCUACGGGAGGCUGCAGUGGGGAAUAUUGGACAAUGGGGGCAACCCUGAUCCAGCCAUGCCGCGUGUGUGAAGAAGGCCCUCGGGUUGUAAAGCACUUUCAGUGAGGAAGAACGCCUGGUGGUUAAUACCCAUCAGGAAAGACAUCACUCACAGAAGAAGCACCGGCUAACUCCGUGCCAGCAGCCGCGGUAAUACGGAGGGUGCGAGCGUUAAUCGGAAUUACUGGGCGUAAAGCGCGCGUAGGUGGCUUGAUAAGCCGGUUGUGAAAGCCCCGGGCUCAACCUGGGAACGGCAUCCGGAACUGUCAAGCUAGAGUGCAGGAGAGGAAGGUAGAAUUCCCGGUGUAGCGGCGAAAUGCGUAGAGAUCGGGAGGAAUACCAGUGGCGAAGGCGGCCUUCUGGACUGACACUGACACUGAGGUGCGAAAGCGUGGGUAGCAAACAGGAUUAGAUACCCCAGUAGUC